GACGAACGCUGGCGGCGUGCUUAACACAUGCAAGUCGAACGGAAAGGCCCUGCUUUUGUGGGGUGCUCGAGUGGCGAACGGGUGAGUAACACGUGAGUAACCUGCCCUUGACUUUGGGAUAACUUCAGGAAACUGGGGCUAAUACCGGAUAGGAGCUCCUGCUGCAUGGUGGGGGUUGGAAAGUUUCGGCGGUUGGGGAUGGACUCGCGGCUUAUCAGCUUGUUGGUGGGGUAGUGGCUUACCAAGGCUUUGACGGGUAGCCGGCCUGAGAGGGUGACCGGCCACAUUGGGACUGAGAUACGGCCCAGACUCCUACGGGAGGCAGCAGGGGGGAAUAUUGCGCAAUGGGCGGACGCCUGAUGCAGCAACGCCGCGUGCGGGAUGAAGGCCUUCGGUUUGUAAACCGCUUUCGCAUGUGACGAAGCGUGAGUGACGGUAAUGGGUAAAGAAGCACCGGCUAACUACGUG
Molecule: ribosomal RNA, 468 nt
Filed under: uncultured bacterium
Lineage: Bacteria
Description: partial 16S ribosomal RNA
Rfam family: Bacterial small subunit ribosomal RNA
Source: RNAcentral